UGCCAGACUCCUACGGGAGGCAGCAGUGGGGAAUAUUGGGCAAUGGGCGCAAGCCUGACCCAGCGACGCCGCGUGAGGGAAGACGGUCUUCGGAUUGUAAACCUCUUUCAGCAGGGAAGACAAAAGGACGGUACCUGCAGAAGAAGCCACGGCUAACUACGUGCCAGCAGCCGCGGUAAUACGUAGGUGGCAAGCGUUAUCCGGAUUUAUUGGGUUUAAAGGGUGCGUAGGCGGUCCGGAAAGUCAGCGGUAAAAGCCCGGGGCUCACCCCCGGCGAGCCGUUGAAACUGUCGGACUAGAGACGGCGAGAAGUACGCGGAAUGCGCGGUGUAGCGGUGAAAUGCAUAGAUAUCGCGCAGAACUCCGAUUGCGAAGGCAGCGUACCGGCGCCGGACUGACGCUGAGGCACGAAAGCGUGGGUAUCGAACAGGAUUAGAUACCCCUGUAU
Molecule: ribosomal RNA, 448 nt
Filed under: uncultured bacterium
Lineage: Bacteria
Description: partial 16S ribosomal RNA
Rfam family: Bacterial small subunit ribosomal RNA
Source: RNAcentral